This 867-nucleotide ribosomal RNA is filed under the name Triticum aestivum (bread wheat). Its description in RNAcentral is "partial small subunit ribosomal RNA". Lineage: Eukaryota; Viridiplantae; Streptophyta; Magnoliopsida; Poales; Poaceae. The record is from RNAcentral.
AUGGAUAUUGACACUAGGUGCCCAGUGUGCUUCAGAUAUGAUGAGGAUGGUUGUCAUUGUUUCCUCAAAUGCAAAAAGGUGAAACAAUUGUGGCGCGCAUUACAGAUGGAAGAUAUUAGAAGCAAGUUAGUGCUAUGCAAUGAUCCUCUCAGCUUGUUUGAGGAGGUAUUUCAUCUGUCAGAGGAAGAGAGCAUAAAGGUGUGUGUCCUGUUCUGGCUAUGGUGGCAUGAAAGAAAUAAAGCUAACGUGGGCGACACGAUGAAAACCAUUGAUGAAAUUGUUGCCUCUAUUUACUAUCAUGUCAAUAUUUUCAGGAAUCUCAAGAUACGAAGGAGUGCCCAAAAACAGACCGCCACGCCAAAAUGGUCUCCUCCGCCAAGUACAUACCUUAAAACAAAUUCUGAUGGUGCAUUUCAUGAAGCAUCAAACUCUGGAGGUUGGGGUUGUACUUUGAGAAAUGAUGAAGGCACACUUUUGGCUGCAGGAGCAGGAAACCUGGAACUUGUAUCCGGUCCACUCCAUGCUGAAGCUUUAGCCAUGCUAUAUGCAAUCCAUGCCACGGCAAGGAUGGGAGGUAACCAAGUCAUCUUUGAAACUGAUUCCAUGGUGCUGAAACAGGCGGCAACAAGCGAAGAGUAUGAUAAAUCUACUUUAGGAUCAUUGUUCCAGGAGAUAAAAUUUCAGUUGAACGUUGCUUUUGAUGUUGCUAAACUGAAUGUAUGUCCUAGAAUCUGUAACAAUGCAGCACACUCGUUAGCAACGUAUGGUCAUGGCCUAGGGAGUGGUAAAUGUGAGACCUGGUUGGGCCACUUCCCUGAGUUUGUACAAAACUCUGUAACUGGCGACUUAGCCAGAUUGUCUUUGUAA